GAGGGUAUAGCUCAAGUGGUAGAGUGCAUGCUUAGCAUGCACAAGGUCUUGAGUUCAAUCCUCAGUACCUCCU
This 73-nucleotide transfer RNA is filed under the name Camelus bactrianus (Bactrian camel). It matches the Rfam family "tRNA". Rfam says of the family: Transfer RNA (tRNA) molecules are approximately 80 nucleotides in length. Their secondary structure includes four short double-helical elements and three loops (D, anti-codon, and T loops). Further hydrogen bonds mediate the characteristic L-shaped molecular structure. tRNAs have two regions of fundamental functional importance: the anti-codon, which is responsible for specific mRNA codon recognition, and the 3' end, to which the tRNAs corresponding amino acid is attached (by aminoacyl-tRNA synthetases). tRNAs cope with the degeneracy of the genetic code in two manners: having more than one tRNA (with a specific anti-codon) for a particular amino acid; and 'wobble' base-pairing, i.e. permitting non-standard base-pairing at the 3rd anti-codon position. RNAcentral also lists the same sequence under 2 other names. Lineage: Eukaryota; Metazoa; Chordata; Mammalia; Artiodactyla; Camelidae. The record is from Rfam by way of RNAcentral.